RNAcentral lists this ribosomal RNA (305 nucleotides) under uncultured bacterium. RNAcentral's name for it is "bacterial SSU rRNA". It matches the Rfam family "Bacterial small subunit ribosomal RNA", at positions 333 to 652 of the family's 1533-position model. The record is from RNAcentral.
AUGGUCCUACGGGGGGCAGCAGUGGGGAAUAUUGCACAAUGGGCGAAAGCCUGAUGCAGCAACGCCGCGUGAAGGAAGAAGGGUUUCGGCUCGUAAACUUCUAUUAACAGGGACGAAAGAAAUGACGGUACCUGAAUAAGAAGCCCCGGCUAACUACGUGCCAGCAGCCGCGGUAAUACGUAUGGUGCAAGCGUUAUCCGGACUUACUGGGCGUAAAGGGAGCGCAGGCGGCGCGCCAAGUCUGAUGUGAAACCCCGGGGCUCAACUCCGGGCAUGCAUUGGAAACUGGCGGGCUGGAGUGCCGG